AACCACAGCCAUGUCACCCUGCAGCCUAGACCGGUUGCUCACUGCUGCUAAGCUGCGCUGAGUCUGAUUAGUACCUGGAUGGGAGACCACAUGGAAAACUAGGCUGCUGUUGGAA
Danio rerio (zebrafish) is the source of this 115-nucleotide ribosomal RNA. The record is from Ensembl. Lineage: Eukaryota; Metazoa; Chordata; Actinopteri; Cypriniformes; Danionidae.